This is an RNA transcript of Oncorhynchus kisutch (coho salmon), 5919 nucleotides long. It is a transcript of the gene named interphotoreceptor matrix proteoglycan 1, with no coding region annotated. The record is from RefSeq and is a predicted model, not a curated record. Lineage: Eukaryota; Metazoa; Chordata; Actinopteri; Salmoniformes; Salmonidae. The transcript has 16 exons.
UCCUCCAGUCAUCUGAAUCAAACAGAUCACAGUUCAUAGGUACUCAUCCCGAGAGGGCUUUAUAGCGGCAAGAACGCAAAUAAAACACCAAUUACAGCGGCUGUUGGCAACCCUCCUGCUUUCUGACAGUAGUGCAGGUGGCAAUCCACUGCUAAAGCACCCAAUUUAAACCCCUAGAGGAGACACAACACCGUCUGGCGUACUAUACAGUAAUACCCACAGAGGAACAAAGUGCAUUGUCUUGUGGAGGAUUUAAUAAAAGCUGCUAUGGUUUAGGUACCAAGUAAGCUAAGAGAUCAGUAAAGAUCUGGGUGACAUAGUGGGAUGAGGAGGUUGGAGGGUGGGCAGUCUCAGGUGAAGUUGGGAGUCGGAGUGGAGGAUGAGGUGGGCAGGAGUACCAGGGGGUGGCAGGCAGAGAUGACUCACAGGUCCCUGGUUGACCACCCUUAGCAGGAUGCAUCUGUUUUUCAGGGAUUCAGCUACUGUAAUUUAACCUUGCUUCCUUUUCCGCUAAAAGGCGGAUGUGGGAACUCCACUGAGGUGUUUCUUCUAACCCUGCUACGUUAGGUUACUGGUUGACAGAUGCUCCCACAAAGAAAGCCCCUAACAGGAUGACGCUGGCGCUGUAGGGCCCAUGGGGUAAAGACGGAUUAUGUCUGAGCAGUAGAUUAUUCCCGAAACAGCACCUGCUUCUUUUACCCUGACACUCUUCGAGCGCAUCCACACAGCCAAGUUGGACCAGGAGAGCUCGCCUAGUUCCAUGCCAUGUCUGUCAGAUGCCACCCUUGAAUUCUCACCAUCAGCGGGGAAACCAAGUCAAAGCCUUAGCCUAUAUGACCAGCCUCCUCUAAUCGACCCCCAGAUAUUUAGUGAUCCUAAGGACUGUGUUAGCAUUCAUGGGCACCACAUGAGAUAAAAAAUAAGCCCAGGUGCAGAGUUUAUACUGGUUUCAAUAUGCCUUGGAAAUAUGGAUUCUUUGUUCUUACACUAUUCAUCUUCACUCUCCAAGCCACAGGAAUUAAAGAGAGGAAUAAUCGGGGCUCUUGGCAGAGUGGAGUUAUCGGGACAGAAACAGAAGCCAUCAAUUCCAUGCACUUGGCUGAACUUUUGAGAACGACCAAACAAAACUCUAAUGUCAGAAUGAUAUUUGACCUAGAAAAGCAUCGUACAAAGAGGUCAGCGGUCUUUCACUCUGGAGUGCGAGUCUGUCCUCAGGAGACCAUCAAUGAGGUCAUCGCCAGCCAUCAAGCCUACUACAAGCUCAGAGUUUGUCAGGAGGCUGUGUGGGAGGCCUUCCGGAUCUUCUUUGACCGGAUCCCUGGAUCUACAGAAUAUACAGCCUGGGUUCACACAUGUCAACAUGAGUCUCUGUGCCUCUCUGACCUGGCCAGUAACUUCAGCAACUCAGAGGAGCACAUGAGUAUGGUGUACAGGAGGAUGAACCUGGGAGAUGAGAGGCAGCCGACUGGAAUGGUAGCAGCCACAACCACAGCAGCACCGGAGGUCGCUGAUAUAACAGGUCCAGAGGAGGCCCAGACUGCAACACCAGAACCACCUGCUCCUGUAACCGGCAUUGCCAGCGUCCCUGAUGCUCCCGAGGUUACAGUUGAAGUAGAAACUGUGGAGGAGGAGGACUCUGAGCUGCCCAAUGUUGUCCCAGAGCAGCCUGUGGAGGCGAUAGUGGAGUUCAGCAUUGACCUCGUGGACCCAGGCUACAAGGAACUACUGGACGACCCUGACUCCCCCCAAUAUGUUGACCUCUCUCAUCACCUGCAAGACCAGAUGCUCCAUGUUUUUGACAAACUCCCAGGAUUUAAAGAUAUCAAUGUUUUGGGAAUCAGCGAGACCCAGGAGAGUGACGGACCUGGAGCAGUGACAGUGCACUAUUCCCUGGUCUUUGAGACAAUUUCAACAGAAGUUUCAGAGGAUGACACAGGGACUCCAGUGUCAGCUGUGCCCAGCCUGCGGGAAAGGGUGGCCAACGCUUUAAGUGAAGAGGCCUCUCUACCAGUGGAUCUACAGUCAUUAAACUUUGAACCAGUAAAAGUGAUUCCAUUAACUACAACACCUAUUGAGGAAGCUGUUGAGGAAGUGAUUGAGUAUUCCAGUACGACAUCAAUCCACAACGACCUGGAAAUAGCCAUAGAUGAGCCAGAGAUUGCUGGGGAGAAGCCUCGUCUGGAUGUUCCACUCGGCCCUGUGGAAAAGAAAAAUGCCCUUGUCACCCUCCUGGACUCUACAGACAUUCCAGAUGAAGAAGAAGAAAAAGCCCCACCAGAGAGGGGUGAUGUGCCUUACAUCUACGAAGAUGUUGAUGAAAGUGAUUUUAAAGCAACAGCUGAACCAGAGGAAGAGGUGCCAUUUAUCACACACAUGAUUGAAACCAUCCAUGCCAUUGAUGAGGGAACUGGUGAGCUUGUCAGAGACUAUUUCCCAACCCCUCCUGCUGAGGACUCUGCUGCUGAGCCCAGCGUUCCAGAGGAAUACCCUGAGCCACCUUUUGGCAAUUUAGUUCCUACUAAUGGGUACCCUGUCUUACCCCCUGAGGAUAUGGAUAUUACCUCCGUUCCUGAAAUAGAAAGUAUAGAAACUGAUGCUCCAGCUGAACUCCCUCCUAACUUGAUAUCAGAGGAGAAGGCUGUUGUUGAGGAGGAGGCAGAGCAUACUCCAACCCCUCAGAUUCUGCUCACCACAGCCACUGAAGAAGAGCUGUCUGACCCUGGAUUACCUGUAACGACUCUCUCAGCCAUCACAGAUCAGCCUACUACUGAAGCAAUAGAGGACCUUGAAGUUGAGGAGAAUCUUAUUCCGAUUGAAGAGGAAGAAGUUGAGGAACCAGAACCUGAGGAAGAGGUAGUUGAGCUAUCGGGACCUGAAGCAGAGGUAGUUGAGCUAUCGGGACCUGAGGAAGGGGUAGUUGAGGUUUCGGGACCUGAGGAAGGGGUAGUUGAGGUUUCGGAACCUGAGAAAGGGGUAGUUGAGGUCUCGGAACCUGAGGAAGAGGUAGUUGAGCUAUCGGGACCUGAGGAAGAAGUAGUUGAGCUAUCGGGACCUGAGGAAGGGGUAGUUGAGCUAUCGGGACCUGAGGAAGGGGUAGUUGAGGUUUUGGAACCUGAGAAAGGGGUAGUUGAGGUCUCAGAACCUGAGGAAGGGGUAGUUGAGGUCUCGGAACCUGAGGAAGGGGUAGUUGAGGUCUCAGAACCUGAGGAAGGGGUAGUUGAGGUCUCGGAACCAGAGAAAGGGGUAGUUAAGGAACCGGAACCUGAGGAAGAGGUAGUUGAUGUACCAGAACCUGAAGAAGAGGUAGUUGAGGAACCAGAACCCGAGGAAGGGGUAGUUGAGGAACCAGAACAUGAGGAAGAGGUAUUUGAGGAACCAGAACCUGAGGAAGAUGUUAAUGAACCACCAGCAGAAGAAAUUAAAAUCAUCCAACCUCUGGAAUCUGUAGAGGACACUCUCUUUGGAGAGGAAACUUAUCCUGUUGAAGAGGACAAUAUUGUGCCAAUAGAAGACCAGUCAUCUGAGGAGGACAUGGAGGAACUAUUGCCUGAAUACCCUGGAUAUGAGGACAUCUACCCUGACGAAGUUGUUGAUACUGUGGACCAAUCAGAUCAUUCACCAGAGGUCAGUGAAGUGGAAGAGGCUGCAUUGCCAGAGGUCAGUGAAGUGGAAGAGGCUGCAUUGCCAGAGGUCAGUGAAGUGGAAGAGGCUGCAUUGCCAGAGGUCAGUGAAGUGGAAGAGGCUGCAUUGCCAGAGGACAGUGAAGAGGAAGAGGCUGCAUUGCCAGAGGUCAGUGAAGUGGAAGAGGCUGCAUUGCCAGAGGUCAGUGAAGUGGAAGAGGCUGCAUUGCCAGGGGACAGUGAAGUAGAAUUGGCUCCAUUGUCAGAGGUCAAUGAAGUGGAAUUGGCUCCAUUGCCAGGGGACAGUGAAGUGGAAUUGGCUCCAUUGCCAGGGGUCAGUGAAGUGGAAUUGGCUCCAUUGCCAGGGGUCAGUGAAGUGGAAUUGGCUCCAUUGCCAGGGGACAGUGAAGUGGAAUUGGCUCCAUUGCCAGGGGUCAGUGAAGUGGAAUUGGCUCCAUUGCCAGGGGACAGUACAGUGGAGAUAGCAAUGACAGCAGAACCAAUCCCAGACUCUUCACCAACACCACCUGCAGAAUCUGGCACUGUGCCUGAGGUAGAUGAAACAGAGUCAGCUUCAGAGUUACAACCUACGGAGGAGGAUGCCGAGGAGCCUGAGGUGGUUGUUAUCGAUGAAGAGGAGGCUGAAGAGGAGGUCAUAGAUGUCUCGGAACCUGAGGAUGAGAGCGUGCAAGACCUUGCAGACAAUUUUGACCAAAUGGACCUGGUGAGCACCGAGGCCAUUGACCUUCCAGAUGCCAGUGGAUACCCAUUGGCUCCCGAGGAGCACCCCUUUGAGACCACAGCGUCUCCACCACUGAGAUACCUGACCACGCCCUCCAUGACCACGGCCAGUAAAGGAAGGGAGCUGGUAGUGUUCUUCAGUCUACGGGUCACCAACAUGAGGUUCUCAGAUGAUCUCUUCAACAAGAGCUCUUCAGAAUACAGAUCCCUGGAGAACACCUUUGUGGAGCUGCUGAUCAAGCAGAUCCCUGUAAGUUCUUGGCGUGCAACGACUUCUCUCGCUGUGUGGUGAACCGCUGGUCUCGGGAGGCCGAGUGUCUGUGUGACCCGGGCUACAUUACGUUGGACGGUUUGCCCUGUCAGAGUAUCUGUGUCCUGCAGCCUGACUACUGCCAAAACGGGGGUCAGUGUGAGAUAGUGCCUGGGCAUGGAGCCACUUGCAGAUACCCAGACAAGUAUACAAGUCUUCCCGGCAUGACAAGUUAAUAAAAUCGAGGGUUGAAUGACAUCAACACUAUGUACUGGGACAUGGCGACUGCAGAAGACAGCGGUUGGAUCACUGCAGAAGACAGCGGUUGGAUCACUGCAGAAGACAGCCUUUGGAUCACUGCAGAAGCAACAAAGUACCGUUUAUAAAGGAUAUUUAAUAGCUGAUGCAGUUAACAGACUGUUGUGACUGCAGAAAGACAUUGAUCUGCGGUCUUCUGAUUGACAGGCAGACACAACCCCUUCAUCUCAUCUUUCCAAAGCCUGUGUUUCACCUGAAAGGAUACUCCCCAAACUGUGGACGACAAACAGAUGUGAUCAUUUCGCUGCAUUUAUCAAGUUGCAAAGGCACCCCAGGACAGCAAACUGCUUUUAUACAUAAUGUGCUGACAAUGUAGUAGCACUUAAAAAAAUAAAAUAAAAAUGCCAGAAGAAAAGUGAUGUUUUCCUCAUGAGGUAUGUAUGUUGCAAUGGAGUAUAGUUAAUAUCACAUACUGUACACCUGUCUCUGUAUUGGUUUAAUAUUGAUAAUUGUAUAAAGUCCAUCUGUUUCCUCAGUGUCGUCAAACAUCUGUUCUGUACACAUCAGGGAAAUGAACUACUCACUGUCUUCAAUAGGGCUUUUUUAACUGUGUGUAUUUUUGCUGCUGUACCAUUACCAUGUGGAGGAAUAGAGUGAUGUCAAACACGAGGGCCAAAAGCAGUUGAGUGAAGCAUGAAAUGCGUUUAUUUCAGUUAGAGAUCAGCAUUGGAAAAGGCAGUAUCUGAGGAAUGAUUGCUAUGCGUGUUGUGAGAUACAGAGCAUAUGGAAGCCAGUCAGUCAUUUGUUGUACAUUACAAGCGAUAUUCAAGGAGACCCCACACUACAGUAGUAAACUCUGCUGUUUGUCAGAAAUACAUACUUCGGGCUAAACUGAAGACAUGCUUUAGACACGAGCAUGAGUGGAUAGAUUUCAAACAACCACAACGUCGCCUUUCGCUUGUGCAGAGUGUCUAAGGGAAUGAGAAGAAACUCAAGACUAACAGCCUUACCUGAAGAGAGUAGUUCUAGUCUCACAAGAUUGUCAUGUAC